Daucus carota subsp. sativus is the source of this 2071-nucleotide long non-coding RNA. RefSeq lists it as uncharacterized. Lineage: Eukaryota; Viridiplantae; Streptophyta; Magnoliopsida; Apiales; Apiaceae. The transcript is spliced from 7 exons. The record is from RefSeq and is a predicted model, not a curated record.
CAAACAGCUUGCUGUUACAUAACUUGCCGAAAAUGGAGACACAAAUCAUUAGAGUUAGGGGCGAAAUCUUGUGUCUCAACAAUAUACACCUAUUCAAUCGUCUGGGGUAAUUUCACAGUAUUCAUCAUCAUCAGCGCCAAAGCAUAUCUUUCUGUUGCUGUAAACACAACUCGUGAAAUCUUAAUUCAGUUGAAACAGUGAUUUCGAUAUAUGCAACCCCGGCCGAAGUUGGAACAGAAAUAGUUGAUUCCUUAAUACCGCAAUUAUCAGCAGCAGCAUCGCUAUUAAUUGCCACUGAAAUACAUGAAGUUACAUCUGGAAGUCAGAGAAUGUGAAAAAGAUCCGAGAACUUUGAGGCCGCAUGGAAGUCACUAUAUAGGUCCAGUAAUUGGUUUUCUGGUGUCCGGCUUCAAAGGGUCUUGAAAGGCCUGAAGACUGCCAUGUGGGGAGUCAUGAUUCUUAAAAGCAACUGACAGGGGUUCUACUAGAACUUACAUAUACAGAUGUAUGCACAUAUAUCUGAACUGGAAUGUCUGUGAAAAUUGUUAUCGUAUGAGUUAUGUUGACAAUGUGCAGGAGCCUAAGUGAGGCGGCAGAGAAAGCUGAUCUUCCUUGUUUUGAGGGCCAGUCUUGGUGAAAUUGAGAUUCCAGGUAUACAAGGUUGUAUUAUUUUUAUCUGAUCUCAUUUCUAGGCCAUUCAAUGUAACUUCCUGCUACUUUUUCUCUCACACAAAUCUCUGUCGAGGCGUGAAUCAUUAAUCUCUUACUACCAAGAGAGGUAUCCGCUAUGCUAAUCCUUGCAGAUAUGACAGAAUGACACCCUUUAUUGGUACCUUUGCUCUUGUCAUUUUGUCUUGCACUUGGUUCUUCCAGAGGUCAUGACUGGGAUUGAGUUACCCAUAACUAUCAGUCAUAUGCUGUCUUUUUUACUUAUUGAGUGAUUCUGUAAUUGUUCUUGGUUUUUGCAGGUUCCAUUUUAUGCUAGCCUUGCAUCACUAAAAAGUGAUUGAAUCUCAGUGCGUCAUAAAUUACUUAAUUGCAAACUAUUUAAUCAGCUUAAUUUCUCUUGCAUAUCGUCAUUUAUAAAAAGGUAAUAAAGUAAGUGUAUAUCUCUUAUGAGUUUUUGAUUUUUUACAAGUCUAACGCAACUGCCAUUCUUUAAUAACUUUGUUGAAGUGCAGGCAUCUGACACUUCAUUCUUAACUCUCAAAGGCAGAAACUGGCGUAAGCGGUACUACAAAAGAAAGCAAUUUGAUUCAUCUGUGUUUAUCUACUUGUUAUAGGUUAUGCAAUAUUUUAAAGAAAUUUUUGUAUCAAAUAUAAACAUGUCAAAGUAUCUGGAAUCAUAAAUAUGUCAGAGGAAUCACAAAGCUUACUUACUAUGUUCUCAUGCAAAGAGCUAAAAUAUGGAUUAACUUUUGGGAUCUCACUCAAUGUAUUUGUUGAAUUUAAAAAAUCUGCACAUAUUCUUGUGUAUUUUUGUGGAUGAAAGUGUUGCAUUCUAAAUAAAAUCAUGCUUGCUGCAAGAGAAAGCUAUAUUGCUGAUAUUAUCCGUGUGUAAAAGGCUGGCACAUUAUCAGCAAAUGGACAAAGAGAGCUAGGUGAGUUAAUGGCGAAGGCUAUGGAGAAUGUUGGCAAAGAAAGAGUUAUCACAGUAGAGGCAAAGGCAUCUAUAGAUAAUUUCUGACGAUAUGGAGUGAAGCAUUGGCAACUCUUAUACCACAUAAGCUCAAGAGUUGUGGAGCCAGUGAAGCUGAGGUUGCGGACAAAUAGAUAGUCACAGAUAUACCGAAUGCCUCAAAUGCAGCUGUUGAUGAAGGAAUCAUCCUUGGUGAUUUCUUAAUUCUGCAGGUCAAAGGAGAUUCUGGACACUCCUUGUCCUGUAUAGCCCUGCAAGGCUGCAACACUGGCGCAAAAUUUUACAUUUGCCUGCCCAACUUUCAACAACUCUUGCUCAUUGUAUUAGUUUUAUGCAAUUCCGUUGUCCAUUUGAUUAUUUGAUGUUUACGGAGGAGUAUAUCUUUUAUAUAGUUCUGUAAUAGAUUUCGUUGAAUAUCGAUAUUUGUAACGA